Molecule: unclassified non-coding RNA, 229 nt
Filed under: plant metagenome
Description: partial contains small subunit ribosomal RNA and internal transcribed spacer 1
Rfam family: Eukaryotic small subunit ribosomal RNA (bases 1-46)
Source: RNAcentral
AAGUCGUAACAAGGUCUCCGUUGGUGAACCAGCGGAGGGAUCAUUGCUGGAACGCGCCCCAGGCGCACCCAAGAAACCCCUUUGUGAACUUAUUACCUUAACUGUUGCCUCGGCGCUAGCUGGUCCUUCGGGGCCCUCACCCUCGGGUGUUGAGACAGCCCGCCGGCGGCCAACCUAACUCUUAGUUUUACACUGAAACUCUGAGAAUAAAACAUAAAAUGAAUCAAAA